RNAcentral lists this ribosomal RNA (450 nucleotides) under uncultured bacterium. RNAcentral describes it as "bacterial SSU rRNA". It matches the Rfam family "Bacterial small subunit ribosomal RNA", at positions 39 to 477 of the family's 1533-position model. The record is from RNAcentral.
GAAUUCGAUUCAGGCCUAACACAUGCAAGUCGAGCGAGAAGACGUAGCAAUACGUUUGUAAAGCGGAGAACGGGUGAGGAAUACAUGGGUAACCUACCCUCGAGUGGGGAAUAACUAGCCGAAAGGUUAGCUAAUACCGCAUACGAUUCCUGGUCUGCGGAUCGGGAAGGAAAGCGAUACCGUGGGUAUCGCGCUCUUGGAUGGGCUCAUGUCCUAUCAGCUUGUUGGUGAGGUAACGGCUCACCAAGGCUUCGACGGGUAGCUGGUCUGAGAGGACGAUCAGCCACACUGGCACUGCGACACGGGCCAGACUCCUACGGGAGGCAGCAGUAAGGAAUAUUGCGCAAUGGGCGACAGCCUGGCGCAGCGACGCCGCGUGGGGGAUGAAGGUCUUCGGAUUGGAAACCCCUUUCGGCAGGGAAGAUGGAACGGGUAACCGUUCGGACGGUA